CCACAGAUAACAUCAGAACAAAGUUGACUACCACUACAAAGUUGCCAAUGUCUUCGAAAUUGUUACAACCAAGCUUCUGUCUCCUCUUGGGCAGUGCCACUGGGCCUCCUGCGCCUCUCCUGGAUCAUCUGAACAUGGCUCCUGAUCCGCUGCUCUAACUCCCGGUCGCGGGCUGCCCUGGGGUCACACAGGUCAAGGGUAAAAUGAACCACCAUUCCACAAACUAAAGAUUCUCUUAGUUACAUACCGCUGUGGGUGCUGCAUGUUGUUGGUGGUGGAGGAUUAGCUGGCUAGCUACAGACUACAGAGACCAGAUGCUCGGAGUCCGGACCUGUCUGACCCUGUCCCUAAUCAAGACUCCUGAUACUUUAACCUGGCUGUGACUGACCAAUGCUCCCUCCCUCCACAUAUACAUUUAUCACACGAUUUCACACGAUUGAUUGAUAUAAUUAUUUGUUUAUUUAUUCCGAUGGACUGUACGCUGCAAUUCAGCUCUUGUACACCUUGACAAUAAACUAAACCUUAUACUGA
Oncorhynchus kisutch (coho salmon) is the source of this 531-nucleotide long non-coding RNA. RefSeq lists it as uncharacterized. The transcript is spliced from 2 exons. The record is from RefSeq and is a predicted model, not a curated record. Lineage: Eukaryota; Metazoa; Chordata; Actinopteri; Salmoniformes; Salmonidae.